CCUACGGGAGGCAGCAGUGAGGAAUAUUGGUCAAUGGACGCAAGUCUGAACCAGCCAUGCCGCGUGCAGGAUGACGGCGCUAUGAGUUGUAAACUGCUUUUGUAAGAGGGUAAACCCCGAUACGUGUAUAGGGUUGAAAGUAUCGUACGAAUAAGGAUCGGCUAACUCCGUGCCAGCAGCCGCGGUAAUACGGAGGAUCCGAGCGUUAUCCGGAUUUAUUGGGGUUAACGGGUGCGUAGGUGUUUUGAUAAGUUAGAGGUGAAAUGUCGGCGCUCCACCCCGCAACUGCCUCUAAUACUGUUGGCCUAGAGCAUAGUUGCGGUAGGCGUAAUGUAUGUUGUAGCGG
Molecule: ribosomal RNA, 346 nt
Filed under: uncultured bacterium
Lineage: Bacteria
Description: partial 16S ribosomal RNA
Rfam family: Bacterial small subunit ribosomal RNA
Source: RNAcentral